Cyprinus carpio (common carp) is the source of this 801-nucleotide long non-coding RNA. RefSeq lists it as uncharacterized. The transcript is spliced from 5 exons. The record is from RefSeq and is a predicted model, not a curated record. Lineage: Eukaryota; Metazoa; Chordata; Actinopteri; Cypriniformes; Cyprinidae.
UGUUAGCAGAGCAUGUUCAUAGUUAAUGUGAUUUUCUUUUUUAUCUUUUUUUUAAUGCUUAUGGUUACUCUGCUGGAGUAAGCAUAGCCACUAAAAAUCACCUUGAGACCAGUGCUCUGUGGGCUUGUGCUGCAUUCCCAGGCUGCGUGUUGCUGACGGCGUUCUGAUGCUGCUGUGUUCUUCUCCAGGAGGAUUAGACACUUCCUGAAUUACAUGUUGUCGGUCAUGAGGAGAUUUGUUUGCAUCUGAAUACUCUCAUGUUCAGAACGAGCAAUAAGAUGGGAGACUUUAUCAGAACUGGCCACUAAUUAACAGAAAUCACAGUAACUAUUGCAUAGAGGGAUCUUGUUAAAUCGAAAAGCGGAGUGAUCAGAGUGGCAAAGUGCUAAUUAAGCUCUGAAUGGGGGGCUGCAUCAACAGAGCACAGGGAUGAUCCUUCGCUGUCUGUUUACAUCGCUGCGGUGCAUUCUGGGAGGUCACCCCACAACCUGGGGCAGGCGUACUAUUCUGGUGCUCCGGGAAAAAAAAUGUGUAAGACAGAUAAAACCAGCACAUCUAAAUCCCUUUGGCUCUGUGUUUACGGACACAGACGGCUUUAUCUACACUAAUGUCAUCAACAUUUAAAGCAGGAAAUUUUAUUUCCAAGAACUGAAACAUUUCCACACAAUAUGAGGAUGCUGAGUAAUUUGUUGCUCUCUUUAAUGUCUCAUUUGUUUCAUUUAGACAGAAAUAUGACAACUGAGUCUGAAAUUUUUCUCCUCCUCUAGAGUUUCAAAAGAGAUCUCAAAAACUGUGCACAGA